Molecule: ribosomal RNA, 505 nt
Filed under: uncultured Glomus
Lineage: Eukaryota; Fungi; Glomeromycota; Glomeromycetes; Glomerales; Glomeraceae
Description: SSU rRNA
Rfam family: Eukaryotic small subunit ribosomal RNA
Source: RNAcentral
AGCAGCCGCGGUAAUUCCAGCUCCAAUAGCGUAUAUUAAAGUUGUUGCAGUUAAAAAGCUCGUAGUUGAAUUUCGGGAUCAGUACGCUGGUCGUGCCUUUGGUAUGUACUGGUGUCACUGAUUCCUCCCUUCUGAAGAACCGUUAUGCCAUUUAUUUGGUGUGGCGGGAAAUCAGGACUGUUACUUUGAAAAAUUAGAGUGUUUAAAGCAGGCUCGCGCUUGAAUACAUUAGCAUGGAAUAAUGAAAUAGGACGUUUGAUCUUAUUUUGUUGGUUUCUAGGAUCGACGUAAUGAUUAAUAGGGAUAGUUGGGGGCAUUAGUAUUCAAUUGUCAGAGGUGAAAUUCUUGGAUUUAUUGAAGACUAACUACUGCGAAAGCAUUUGCCAAGGAUGUUUUCAUUAAUCAAGAACGAAAGUUAGGGGAUCGAAGACGAUCAGAUACCGUCGUAGUCUUAACCAUAAACUAUGCCGACUAGGGAUCGGAUGAUGUUAAUUUUUAAUGACUC